GCCAGUGUGGUAUAGUGGUUUGAGCAUUGGACUUCGAUUCUGGAGACCAGGGUUCAAUUCCUGCUCAGCCA
Phrynosoma platyrhinos (Desert horned lizard) is the source of this 71-nucleotide non-coding RNA. Lineage: Eukaryota; Metazoa; Chordata; Lepidosauria; Squamata; Phrynosomatidae. The record is from the annotation of a GenBank genome assembly.